UGGUUGGUUGGGGUCCUGACAUCACCUAUCCCUGUGCCGUGAAGGUUUCGGGUCUUGUUCUCAUUUGACUUUACGCUGAGAGCCGAGUCUCCGCCAGAGCAGGAUAUAUAUUUUAAAAAAAUAAAAAUAAAAAAUAAAAACCCAUCUGCCCAGCUCUCCUUUAAAGCAGUCGUUCUCAAACUGCUCAAUACCAGAAGGGUCAGGAGCGCUUGUCGAAACACAGAAUGCUGAGCUCCACUCCAGAGGUCCUGACUCGGCAUUUCUAACGAAUUCCCACCUGGUGUUGAUGCUGCUGGUCCGGGGACCACACUUGAAGGACUGCUAGUCUCAAUGUUUUAAGCUGGCUCCUGGAUACGGUGACCUCCUCCCAAGUCCGAGGAGCUGGCUCUUUGGCCCGGCUGUGCCACGGCCCGGCUCCGUCCGCCCACACGCCAGGACUGCUCCGUCUCUGCUUUGCGGUCCGCGUAGGCACACGGGGACAUUGCGGCCCGUGUCAAAAGGCCACGAGGCCCUGAAAGUUACCGUAGCAGAACCGGAAACCUUACCAGGGUCCCUGCUAGCUUUUAGGAGAAGCACUUGAAGCUUCAGGGAAGAGAAGUUUACAUCCUGGGAAAACCCCGGCUCCAGCAGCCAAACUUUGAACAGGAGGCAGCGGCCGGGUGUCUCCCCCACGCCCUUCCAAAGGCCACGGGACUCCCGGCCGUCAUCUGUGAGGGGCUCCGUGUACUUUCCACACUGCCUGGUCUGUGCCUCAGCCCACAAUCUCUUUCUUUCUUGAGCCUUACAGGAGAAGGUGAGAAGGGCUAAGAUAUGCGUUCCCUGUCACAAUUAAAAUAAAGUCCAAACUCCUGACCAUGGCCUGCCUGGCGCUCAGACCUCCUCUCCCUGCUCUCCAGCUCGUCAGCUCCACUCUGACGCUCUGGCCUCCCUGCUGUCCCUCCAACACCAAUCUUUUUCCGUCCCGAAUCUCUGCGUUCCCGCUGUCUGCUAAGCCAAGGAUCCAGAUGGGACACGAGACUGGUGGUUCGGGCGGUCCCUCUCCAGAGAGAGCUUCCUGUUCCCCCUCCAUAAGGCAGCCCCACUUCCCACCCAUUCCUUCUGUCCCUAUCUUCAGAGGACUUGUCACCAUCCGACACCAUCUCCAGGAUGGAAGUUCCACGAAGGCCACAACCUCGUCUGCCUUUCCCAGCCGUGUCCCCAGCACCUGGACCGUGCCUGGCACAUCAUACGGGUUCAAUAAAGAUUUAUGGAAUGAAUCUGUGGCCUCUGCCAGAUAUACUAUGAGAGGCCAGGUCUAGAAUCCUUAAGCGACAUACCCCAGACCUUGAUUCGAAAGUCCAGAGUCUGGCUCUGGGUUUACUGCUUCACAGCUCGUUCAGAUGGGAAAAACCGGGGUCACAGAUGUCACCGCUACUGUCACUCUGGACAAAGCCCUCCACUUGUGUUGCCCUGACCUGCCUCACCCACCAAAUGGCUGGAUAACAUCGGUGUCGCCUGCCCCCAAGACUGUGUCAAGGCUCAGAUGAGGCCUGUUUCUGCACCCUGAGUACCUGUAAAACACCGGGAACACUUCCUAAUGAGUCACUUUCACUGGAAUAUUCCGUCACGAUCUGCUUCUGGGGAACCUAGCUUAAAACCGGAACAUGUCGAUUUCUUGACCG
Long non-coding RNA from Leopardus geoffroyi (Geoffroy's cat), 1661 nucleotides. RefSeq lists it as uncharacterized. The record is from RefSeq and is a predicted model, not a curated record. NCBI's taxonomy places the organism in Eukaryota, Metazoa, Chordata, Mammalia, Carnivora, Felidae. The transcript is spliced from 2 exons.